GCAGCGUAGAAACAACUGCCUUUCGAAGUGGCCGUCAGUUAGGCUGCCCCUCGGUGAGUUAGGGUCAGUGAUGGCUAGUAGCUUUAACUACAUGUAAUUAAAAGGUAGUUAUCACUACUUUCAGACAGCGCUUUUGUCCUGACGGAGACGGUGCCACUGUUGAAACGUCGACCGUUCUGUUAUAAUCUCCCACAGAACCAGUAACCGCCCCUGGACAGCCGACAAGGGUCCGAGCAUCCGCAGCCUAAAGCGAACAUCGAUUGAACGCCUCCUGGACGCGUUAGUUGGGAUGCUCCAAUGAGUAUACAUCAGCAGACGUCCCACAUAUAUUACCCUGUGGACACCAUGUGCACCCCAUCCGCAGUGUGUCCACAAAGAGCCGUUUGAGCACCCCUUUUCGCUCUUCACACUCGACCCCGUUCUUCUCUCCCGGUCUGUCGUCUGACUGCGUUGCCGCCAAAGCAGAAAUCUGCGCAGAAGGCUUGUUUUUUCCGCAAUGCGCAGAAGAGAGAGUCACGUGAUGCCCUAGCCCGUUGUGCGGAUGAUUUCAAACGCCGCUGGAGAUGCUGGAGAAACACUGCGGCGUCUGCAAUGGCUCGGAGUAACACGGGUUAUACCGCUUAGCAUUGGCCAUUCGUUGCUGCGUACGUCUCAGCGUCUCCCAGAGAGUGUGGGGUGUUUUCUCUAUGAGCAGUCUUGGAAUUAUUUACUGUCUUAUGUGUUACAGUGUGCCUCGGUGGAAGAACUUGGCCAGUGAGUUCCAGAGACCGGAAGACACAGAAAGGAACAAUAUCAAGACACCGGUAGCCAUUCAUAAGACGUGAAGGAACGUGAGGAGUUGCGUCGGUUUCAUGCAAGAUGCCAACUAAUUAUAUGGCGAGUAACAUGGAUGUUUAUUUUCUUGUGUACAUAACGUGGUGAUAUGGUGAUCACUAUCUGUACGAAUGGGGAUGAUCUGGAUAUGGCACCUUGUCACGUGCUUACAUUAUUUGUACUGCUUAUGUGCCGGCAGGCAUGUACGAAUGCACAUGUAAAUAAAACCCACAUAGAAAUAAAGUAUUUUU
Long non-coding RNA from Ornithodoros turicata, 1064 nucleotides. RefSeq lists it as uncharacterized. The transcript is spliced from 3 exons. The record is from RefSeq and is a predicted model, not a curated record. Lineage: Eukaryota; Metazoa; Arthropoda; Arachnida; Ixodida; Argasidae.